AGGCGUUGUAGCCAACCAAAGGCCACAUUCAAAAUCCAGCUGGGUCUCACCCGAAUGUGCUGCCUCAAGCAGUUCAUAUAAUUUGGUGACCAGGCCCAGGGUGUCUAAGAACUUGUCUUAACAAUUGCGUAAAGAGUACUCCACGCCCUUCUACGGCUUCCAGGUGGUUUUUGCCAAAAACUGUACAAUUUGUGGGUCCACCUCAGGGGUUUUUGCUACUGAAUCAGGUAUAAUAGGACGGGGCAUUCUGCUCUCAAUUUGUUACGACCCUCCUGGGAGAGAGGUUUUCGUACUCUCAAUGUUAGAUAUUGAGC
Molecule: non-coding RNA, 314 nt
Organism: Pelobates cultripes (western spadefoot toad)
Lineage: Eukaryota; Metazoa; Chordata; Amphibia; Anura; Pelobatidae
Source: the annotation of a GenBank genome assembly